AGCGAACGCUGGCGGCAUGCUUAACACAUGCAAGUCGCGCGAUCGGGGGGCAACUUCCGGGAGCGGCGGACGGGUGAGUAACGCGUAGGUAUCUAUCCAAGGGUGGGGGACAACCGCGGGAAACUGCGGCUAAUACCGCAUGAUGACCCUGAUCGAGAGGUUUGGGUCCAAAGCAGCGAUGCGCCUAUGGAGGAGCCUGCGUCCGAUUAGCUUGUUGGUGGGGUAACGGCCUACCAAGGCUGUGAUCGGUAGCUGGUCUGAGAGGAUGAU
RNAcentral lists this ribosomal RNA (270 nucleotides) under uncultured bacterium. RNAcentral's name for it is "partial 16S ribosomal RNA". It matches the Rfam family "Bacterial small subunit ribosomal RNA", at positions 29 to 304 of the family's 1533-position model. The record is from RNAcentral.